GACGAACGCUGGCGGCGUGCUUAACACAUGCAAGUCGAACGGAAAGGCCCCUUUGGGGGUACUCGAGUGGCGAACGGGUGAGUAACACGUGAGUAACCUGCCCUUGACUUCGGGAUAACUUCAGGAAACUGGGGCUAAUACCGGAUAGGAAUCCUUGCUGCAUGGUGGGGGUUGGAAAGCUUCGGCGGUUUUGGAUGGACUCGCGGCUUAUCAGCUUGUUGGUGGGGUAGUGGCUUACCAAGGCUUUGACGGGUAGCCGGCCUGAGAGGGCGACCGGCCACAUUGGGACUGAGAUACGGCCCAGACUCCUACGGGAGGCAGCAGUGGGGAAUAUUGCACAAUGGGCGGAAGCCUGAUGCAGCAACGCCGCGGGCGGGAUGACGGCCUUCGGGUUGUAAACCGCUUUCAGCAGGGGCGAAGCUUGUGGUGACGGUACCUGAAGAAGAAGCACCGGCUAACUACGUG
Molecule: ribosomal RNA, 465 nt
Filed under: uncultured bacterium
Lineage: Bacteria
Description: partial 16S ribosomal RNA
Rfam family: Bacterial small subunit ribosomal RNA
Source: RNAcentral